GGAAGAGGCGUAGCUCGGUGGUAGAGCAUCUGUCUUGCAUGCAGAAGGUCCCAGGUUCAAUCCCUGGCCUCUCCA
Molecule: non-coding RNA, 75 nt
Organism: Podarcis lilfordi (Lilford's wall lizard)
Lineage: Eukaryota; Metazoa; Chordata; Lepidosauria; Squamata; Lacertidae
Source: the annotation of a GenBank genome assembly